AUAGCAGGAAAUACCCAGCGUGCUAAAAAUAGUUCCACGUGUCACAGCUGUCAUCUGCCAGGGGCUCGGCUUAUAUCGGCUGCUAUCGACAAGGUUGAGCUGAUUGUCACGAUGUCUGGUAAAGGACAAUAUGUGCCCAUUGGAAACAAGGGAUCGGCCCCUCCUCCCCGACCACCUCCACAGCAGCCACCCCCACGGCAACCCCCGGCACCUCGACUGAUACGCGCAACACACACAACAAGCGGGGGCGGCUUUCCGAAGUCUCACUCGGCAUAGCACAUUCCGUUCGUCACCACUCGCCUCUUUCCGUAAUCUCCAAGAGCUGGUCCCGGAAUAACACGAAUUGGUCACGAAUGGAUAUGGCAGUAUUACAACGUAAAAUGGCCUUGCGGACAUACAAUCUCGUUAUGUUGGCAUAAGAAUUUACUGACUGAUAGGCGUUAUCUUUGAACAGGUCCUGGCAAUGAUUAAAAUAUAGAUGUGGAAACUUACUUUGCUGAAAGUAUUAAGUUAAUGAAGAUUGAAUUACA
Molecule: RNA transcript, 530 nt
Organism: Haliotis rubra (blacklip abalone)
Lineage: Eukaryota; Metazoa; Mollusca; Gastropoda; Lepetellida; Haliotidae
Exons: 3
Source: RefSeq, a predicted model, not a curated record